CGAAGGAGAGGAUGGUCUUGGAGCAAGAAAAGUGUUGAGUCUAGAUGUAUUAUGGUGCGACUAAGACCGUGUUGGGAAGGAGCAAGCAGCUGGGGCUUGACUCUUUAAGAUCAGAGAUACUCGGCCUCCUCUUCACCAGUCAUGAAAUUUGACCCUUAUUUAGCAGCAUGA
This 171-nucleotide ribosomal RNA is filed under the name Triticum aestivum (bread wheat). Its description in RNAcentral is "partial small subunit ribosomal RNA". Lineage: Eukaryota; Viridiplantae; Streptophyta; Magnoliopsida; Poales; Poaceae. The record is from RNAcentral.